Molecule: ribosomal RNA, 468 nt
Filed under: uncultured bacterium
Lineage: Bacteria
Description: partial 16S ribosomal RNA
Rfam family: Bacterial small subunit ribosomal RNA
Source: RNAcentral
GACGAACGCUGGCGGCGUGCUUAACACAUGCGAGUCGAACGGAAAGGCCCUGCUUUUGUGGGGUGCUCGAGUGGCGAACGGGUGAGUAACACGUGAGUAACCUGCCCUUGACUUUGGGAUAACUUCAGGAAACUGGGGCUAAUACCGGAUAGGAGCUCCUGCUGCAUGGUGGGGGUUGGAAAGUUUCGGCGGUUGGGGAUGGACUCGCGGCUUAUCAGCUUGUUGGUGGGGUAGUGGCUUACCAAGGCUUUGACGGGUAGCCGGCCUGAGAGGGUGACCGGCCAAAUUGGGACUGAGAUACGGCCCAGACUCCUACGGGAUGCAGCAGUGGGGAAUAUUGCACAAUGGGCGGAAGCCUGAUGCAGCAACGCCGCGUGCGGGAUGACGGCCUUCGGGUUGUAAACCGCUUUCGCCUGUGACGAAGCGUGAGUGACGGUAAUGGGUAAAGAAGCACCGGCUAACUACGUG